GGUGGAGGCCAGCCCAGAAGGGGGCGGGGAGGGCUCCAAGUGGGAAAGUGGCCCCGUCCCUUCCCGGCAGGAACCCGGGCUCCUCCUCCGCCUGCUGCACCGCCAUCAAUCACCUCGACAGCCCAAUCGCCCCCAGCCCGGACUCACCGACUCCCCCGAGGGGCUUUUGCCCCCGGGGGAGGUAAUUUCGUGCCGGGGAGCGUCUGCCCUGCGCAACGGCCAAAAACACGGGCCGGGUCUGCGCUGGGCACCGGGCGUGCGACCCGACGGGCGCGGGGCGCACUUGACACCCUACAGGCGUCCCCGCAGGUAAACUCGAUCAAGGUCCCUACCUCCGCCGCCACGCGCGCGCACCCGCACCUCGAACCACCGCGCCCGCAGCCUCGUCGGCCCCUCACCCAUUCCCGAGGAAGUCCGCUGAAGGUCCCGCAGGACCCUGCCCGGAAGGUCACCCUGCCCCCUUCCCGGAGUCCCCACUCCCUGGCGCCCCUUCCUCGUCCGUCCCCACGAUCCCCGGCUCUCCUCCGGAGGGGAGGAGCGUGCACCGAGCAGCACCCUCUGCCCGCAACCCCGCAGAGCCCCGGCCCGCGCCCAGAAGUCUCCCUGCGCGCAGGGUGCGGGCACAGGGGGUGGGGUCUCCACUGCCACCGCCCCUUACCUCGCGCAGGCCCUCCCCGCAGGUCUCGGAGGCGGGGGCGACCGGUGGCCCCGCGGACUGGCGCGGGGCUGACUUUCCCCUCCCGGGAGGAGCAGGAGGAGGAGGAAGGGAGGCGAGGGAAGGGCUUUGUGUCUGCCUCCCGCCCUCCCCCGGCUCCAGCGCUAGCCAUCCCCCUCCCCCAACCGCCCUCCGGUGCUUGGGAGGGAUGGGCGGGGGAGCCCAGGGGGCGAGGAAGGCGCCUGCGCGACCCGGGUCCGCCCCCGCCCCUCCCCGGCACCGCCCACCCUCCGCCUCCCGGACGCGCUGCCUCUGCGCUUGCCCGGGGACCUGGGACCCGGGUUGCAGGGAGGAGAGCUGGACCAGAAAGUUUAUUUAACCCGGGGCGAACUUGGCUGGCCCUGCUCUCCACCCGCCUCGGCGCCGCCGACCCGCUCUUCUCACUCCCCUGGGAGGACGGGAGUUUUGUUUUCGGAGAUUCUGCCAGCCCAGGAGCCGAAGAGGAGGCUUGGCUUUCUCUGAUGCUGGUUCUUGUGAAUCCUGCCUUCGAAAAUCCCACGGUUGUUUAUCAUUUGUAAUCGGCUCAGCUCCCGGGAAAACAACCCACUGCGCUUCUGUUCCAAGUCACCCAUUCAAUAAAUAAUUGAGCACCUGCUGUGUGCUCUGAUGU
Molecule: long non-coding RNA, 1325 nt
Filed under: Sus scrofa (pig)
Lineage: Eukaryota; Metazoa; Chordata; Mammalia; Artiodactyla; Suidae
Description: lncRNA (ENSSSCG00065007363.1)
Source: RNAcentral